This 90-nucleotide transfer RNA is filed under the name Acetobacteraceae bacterium. RNAcentral's name for it is "tRNA-Ser". It matches the Rfam family "tRNA". Rfam says of the family: Transfer RNA (tRNA) molecules are approximately 80 nucleotides in length. Their secondary structure includes four short double-helical elements and three loops (D, anti-codon, and T loops). Lineage: Bacteria; Pseudomonadati; Pseudomonadota; Alphaproteobacteria; Acetobacterales; Acetobacteraceae. The record is from RNAcentral.
GGGCAGGUGGCCGAGCGGUUUAAGGCACCGGUCUUGAAAACCGGCGUUGGGGUGACUCAACCGUGGGUUCGAAUCCCACCCUGCCCGCCA